Molecule: unclassified non-coding RNA, 366 nt
Filed under: uncultured bacterium
Lineage: Bacteria
Description: contains 16S-23S intergenic spacer region
Source: RNAcentral
UCCCCGUUGGCCAGGGCAGUCUCGCGUGAAAAAUUCAACACACGACAAGGGUUGCGCUCGUUGCGGGACUUAACCCAACAUCUCACGACACGAGCUGACGACGGCCAUGCAGCACCUGUCACUGGUCCAACUAAAUGACUCCUCUGUUUCCAGAGGAUACGACCAGGAUGUCAAUCCUCGGUAAGGUUCUUCGCGUAUCAUCGAAUUAAACCACAUGCUCCACCGCUUGUGCGGGUCCCCGUCAAUUCCUUUGAGUUUUAGCCUUGCGGCCGUACUCCCCAGGCGGGAUGCUUAACGCGUUAGCUUCGCAACGCAAAGGGUCGAUACUUCACACUACUAGCAUCCAUCGUUUACGGCGUGGACUAC